GAUAAACGCUGGCGGCGCACAUAAGACAUGCAAGUUGAACGGACUUAAUCGAAAUAUUUAUAUUUUGAAGCGGUUAGUGGCGGACUGGUUAGUAACGCGUAAGGAACCUGCCUAUUAGAGGGGAAUAACAGUGAGAAAUCAUUGCUAAUACCGCAUAUGCCAUAGAUAUCACAUGAUAACAGUGGGAAAGGAGCAAUCCGCUAAUAGAUGGCCUUGCGUCUGAUUAGAUAGUUGGUGGGGUAACGGCCUACCAAGUCGACGAUCAGUAGCCGGACUGAGAGGUUGAACGGCAACAUUGGGACUGAGAUACGGCCGAGACUCCUACGGGAGGCAGCAGUCGGGAAUAUUGCGCAAUGGAGGAAACUCUGACGCAGUGACGCCGCGUAUAGGAAGAAGGUUUUCGGAUUGUAAACUAUUGUCGUUAGGGAAGAGAAAGGACAGUACCUAAGGAGGAAGCUCCGGCUAACUACGU
This 472-nucleotide ribosomal RNA is filed under the name uncultured bacterium. RNAcentral describes it as "partial 16S ribosomal RNA". It matches the Rfam family "Bacterial small subunit ribosomal RNA", at positions 28 to 506 of the family's 1533-position model. The record is from RNAcentral.